GAUGAACGCUGGCGGCGUGCCUAAUACAUGCAAGUCGAGCGAACGGACGAGAAGCUUGUUUCUCUGAUGUUAGCGCUGGACGGGCGAGUAACACGUGGAUAACCUAUCUAUCAGACUGGGAUAACUUCGGGAAACCGGAGCUAAUACCGGAUAAUAUUUUGAACCGCAUGGUUCAAAAGUGAAAGACGGUUUUGCUGUUACUUAUACAUAGCUCCCCGCUCCAUUAGCUUGUUGGUAAGGUAACGGCUUACCAAGGCAACGAUGCAUAGCCGACCUGAUCGCGCGAUCGGCCACACGGGACCUGAGACACGGUCCAGACUCCUACGGAAGGCGGCAGUAGGGAGUCUGCCGCAGGGGGCGAAAGCCUGGGGGAGGAACGCGACGUGAAUGAUGUGGGUCUUCGGAUCGUAAAGCUCUGUAAUUAGGAAAGAACAUAUGUGUAAGUGACUGUGGACAUCCUGAGGGUACCUAAUCAGAAAGCCACGGCUAACUACGU
This 496-nucleotide ribosomal RNA is filed under the name uncultured bacterium. RNAcentral describes it as "partial 16S ribosomal RNA". It matches the Rfam family "Bacterial small subunit ribosomal RNA", at positions 28 to 506 of the family's 1533-position model. The record is from RNAcentral.